Molecule: ribosomal RNA, 622 nt
Filed under: uncultured bacterium
Lineage: Bacteria
Description: partial 16S ribosomal RNA
Rfam family: Bacterial small subunit ribosomal RNA (bases 81-424)
Source: RNAcentral
CCUAAACGACUGCGUCGCGGUAGCCCUAGGGCUUAAGNUUCGAUCUAUANAGUCUCAACAACCGGCCGUCNUUAUGUACAGCCUAACACAUGCAAGUCGAACGUGCAGCACAGGAGAGCUUGCUCUCUGGGUGUGCGAGUGGCGGACGGGUGAGGAAUACAUCGGAAUCUACUCUGUCGUGGGGGAUAACGUAGGGAAACUUACGCUAAUACCGCAUACGACCUACGGGUGAAAUGCAGGGGACCUUCGGGCCUUGCGCGAUUGAAUGAGCCGAUGUCGGAUUAGCUAGUUGGCGGGGUGAAGGCCCACCAAUGGCGACGAUCCGUAGCUGGUCUGAGAGGAUGAUCAGCCACACUGGAACUGAGACACGGUCCAGACUCCNUACGGGAGGCAGCAGUGGGGAAUAUACUCGGACAAAUGAGGCGCAAACNGAACCACUGAUCCAGCACAAUACACNAGAGCCNGUUUGUGACGGUUGGAANNACUCGGAAAAAUAGAGGGCACCACAUUUAANUUACCACAGAAAGGUAAGAAUUUAUCUAUGAGGAGUUUUCAAAAAAAAAAAAAUAGGGAACACAACAAUGACCNAUUUNAAUUAAANAUAAAUNAAGGAGUUUUCUUA